GAUUAACGCUGGCGGCAUGCCUAAUACAUGCAAGUCGAACGGAAGCAGCAAUGCUUUAGUGGCGAACGGGUGAGUAACACGUAGGGAACCUACCUAUACGACGAGGAUAACUACUGGAAACGGUAGCUAAAACUGGAUAGGAUCAAUUGAGGCAUCUUGAUUGAUUUAAAGAUCCUUCGGGAUUACGUAGAGAUGGCCCUGCGGCGCAUUAGCUAGUUGGUGAGGUAACGGCCCACCAAGGCGACGAUGCGUAGCUGAGCUGAGAGGCUAAACAGCCACACUGGGACUGAGACACGGCCCAGACUCCUACGGGAGGCAGCAGUAGGGAAUUUUCGGCAAUGGGGAAACCCUGACCGAGCAAUGCCGCGUGAACGAUGAAGGUCUUCGGAUUGUAAAGUUCUGUGAUUGGGGAAGAAUGGUAUUCUUAGGGAAUGAGGAGUACAUGACGGUACCCGAUUAGAAAGCCCCGGCUAACUAUGUGCCAGCAGCCGCGGUAAA
RNAcentral lists this ribosomal RNA (498 nucleotides) under uncultured bacterium. RNAcentral's name for it is "bacterial SSU rRNA". It matches the Rfam family "Bacterial small subunit ribosomal RNA", at positions 28 to 524 of the family's 1533-position model. The record is from RNAcentral.